UUGUUUCACACUGGCAUUUAUUCUUGCCAUUUGUAGUUUCCACCAGAGAUCACAAAACCAACGAUGGUCCAGACCUCCCUUGGAUGUCUGAGCAA
This is a small nucleolar RNA of Seriola lalandi dorsalis, 95 nucleotides long. Its record names the gene SNORD14. It matches the Rfam family "Small nucleolar RNA SNORD14". From Rfam's summary of the family: U14 small nucleolar RNA (U14 snoRNA) is required for early cleavages of eukaryotic precursor rRNAs. In yeasts, this molecule possess a stem-loop region (known as the Y-domain) which is essential for function. Lineage: Eukaryota; Metazoa; Chordata; Actinopteri; Carangiformes; Carangidae. The record is from Ensembl.